RNAcentral lists this non-coding RNA (21 nucleotides) under Gossypium hirsutum (cotton). Lineage: Eukaryota; Viridiplantae; Streptophyta; Magnoliopsida; Malvales; Malvaceae. The record is from RNAcentral.
GAGUUAGACUUUGCAGACAUC